UACGAAGGGGGCUAGCGUUGUUCGGAAUUACUGGGCGUAAAGCGUGCGCAGGCGGCUUCUCAAGUCAGGGGUGAAAGCCCAGAGCUCAACUCUGGAAUUGCCUUUGAUACUGAAGAUCUUGAGUUCGGGAGAGGUGAGUGGAACUGCGAGUGUAGAGGUGAAAUUCGUAGAUAUUCGCAAGAACACCAGUGGCGAAGGCGGCUCACUGGCCCGAUACUGACCGCUGAGGCACGAAAGCGUGGGGAGCAAAUAGG
This 254-nucleotide ribosomal RNA is filed under the name uncultured bacterium. RNAcentral describes it as "partial 16S ribosomal RNA". It matches the Rfam family "Bacterial small subunit ribosomal RNA", at positions 524 to 776 of the family's 1533-position model. The record is from RNAcentral.